CACCAUGGUCAUACUACCUUGUAAAUGCCCAAGCCUGUCUGAUCUCAUAAACUAAGCAUGGUUGAGCCUGAUUAGUACUUGGAUAGGAGACCGCUGGGAAUACCAGGUACCAUGGGGC
Molecule: ribosomal RNA, 118 nt
Filed under: Periophthalmus magnuspinnatus
Lineage: Eukaryota; Metazoa; Chordata; Actinopteri; Gobiiformes; Gobiidae
Source: RNAcentral